CAAUAGCGUAUAUUUAAGUUGCUGCAGUUAAAAAGCUCGUAGUUGGAUUUCUGGUGGGAGCGAUCGGUCUGGCGCUUAGCGCGAGUACUUGCAUCGUCUCCGGCCAUCCUUGGGGAGAGUCUGUCUGGCAUUAGGUUGUCGGGCAGAGGAUCCUCAUCGUUUACUGUGAAAAAAUUAGAGUGUUCAAAGCAGGCUUAUGCCGUUGAAUAUAUUAGCAUGGAAUAAUAAGAUAGGACUUUGGUACUAUUUUGUUGGUUUGCGCACCAAAGUAAUGAUUAAUAGGGACAGUUGGGGGUAUUCGUAUUCCGUUGUCAGAGGUGAAAUUCUUGGAUUUACGGAAGACGAACUACUGCGAAAGCAUUUACCAAGGAUGUUUUCAUUAA
Molecule: ribosomal RNA, 383 nt
Filed under: uncultured eukaryote
Lineage: Eukaryota
Description: partial 18S ribosomal RNA
Rfam family: Eukaryotic small subunit ribosomal RNA
Source: RNAcentral